UAAGGAAUAUUGGUCAAUGGACGCAAGUCUGAACCAGCCAUACCGCGUGAAGGAUGAAGGUCCUCUGGAUUGUAAACUUCUUUUAUCUGGGACGAAAACGGGAUUUUUAUCUCAAUUGACGGUACCAGAGGAAUAAGCACCGGCUAACUCCGUGCCAGCAGCCGCGGUAAUACGGAGGGUGCGAGCGUUAUCCGGAUUUACUGGGUUUAAAGGGUGCGUAGGUGGGCUUAUAAGUCAGUGGUGAAAUCUCCGAGCUUAACUUGGAAACUGCCGUUGAUACUAUAGGUCUUGAAUUAUCUGGAUGUUAGCGGAAUAUGACAUGUAGCGGUGAAAUGCUUAGAUAUGACAUAGAACACCAAUUGCGAAGGCAGCUUACUACAUAUAAAUUGACGCUGAGGCACGAAAGCGUGGGGAUCAAACA
RNAcentral lists this ribosomal RNA (421 nucleotides) under uncultured bacterium. RNAcentral's name for it is "bacterial SSU rRNA". It matches the Rfam family "Bacterial small subunit ribosomal RNA", at positions 355 to 774 of the family's 1533-position model. The record is from RNAcentral.